UCCUCCUGAGCCCCAGACAGCCCAUGAACUGCCUUGCUGGGAAUGGUAGGAUGGGGUGGACUCUGGAUUGCUCCCUCUGGAUGUGUGUGGGAUGUAGCCUGGAAACUGCAGAGAGCUGAGCCAAGGGAUUGAAAGGGACCAAGCAAGGGAGGUGAAGAAAGAAGGAAGAAGGGAAGUGAGGCAGCAGCCAAGCAGCAGCAAGUUGCUGUGUAAGCAGAAGUUGCACUUGAUGAACUUCCCAUCUGAGCUGAUGCCCUUGGCAGGAGAAGUGCUCAGCAAGGAGGCUCUUUGCUCCUAGGCAGGAAGAAAGGCCAGUGCCCUUCCUCCCCAAGGCCCAGCCCAGCAGGGCUGGCAGGAGCUGCUGGUGUGGCUGCUCUUUGGGUUCUCAGCUGUGGCUGUGGGGUGGUGACAUCGUGUUCCUGCCUGUGCUCCAGGGCAGCCAAAAGCCCCAGCCCAGCCCCUGGGCCUUUUUGGGAGCCUGAGCUAUUGUAGUACUGGGGAUGGGGGUUUGGGUUUUUGUUUCCCUAAAAGUAGAACCAUUGGGGGGGAUCUCUUAUCUCACAGUUGUUGUUGUUUUGAUAUCUUAAUUAAUUACAACUUGAGAAGAAAACCUUGUGUAACUUAGGAACUGACUUGCACUGGUUACACUGAAAGUGCCAAGGAGUUGUAGUGUCCACUGGAUUGUUUGUAUUGAAGCAGUUUGGUGUU
Molecule: long non-coding RNA, 708 nt
Organism: Pseudopipra pipra
Lineage: Eukaryota; Metazoa; Chordata; Aves; Passeriformes; Pipridae
Exons: 3
Source: RefSeq, a predicted model, not a curated record